Nerophis ophidion (straightnose pipefish) is the source of this 1091-nucleotide long non-coding RNA. RefSeq lists it as uncharacterized. The transcript is spliced from 6 exons. The record is from RefSeq and is a predicted model, not a curated record. NCBI's taxonomy places the organism in Eukaryota, Metazoa, Chordata, Actinopteri, Syngnathiformes, Syngnathidae.
GCCAAAUUCGGUGUCCCAGCUGUAAAUGAAGGUGUCAAAGUUGUUGACAGUUCAGCGACUGAGAUAGAUGAUGUUUUUGAGGAAAUUGUGAAGGAUCCAGCCACUGGGGUACUAACCAUCAAAUACAAAACAGACACAAUCAUCCUUGAAGACACCAGAAAGCGUCAGAGGCUGGACUCUGAAGCUAUGCAACUUUGGCGGAAGGACCAUCUGAUGAAGACAAGUCGGGAGGACCAACUGUUGGACGAGUUACCCAAUUCCAUCCAGAGAUUGUCCUGUCUUGGAAGCGAUGUCACUGAUGAAACAUUCGGCUGACGUGGACAUGGUCAUCAAAAAGAUGAAGCUGACAUUUGCCCAUCGGCAUAACAUGGUCCUGGACCAACAGCAGUCAAGCAACAUUCUAUCUUAUUUUCCUCGUUUUAAAGACAUCAAUGGCUUGGUUGAACAGGAUUUUGUUCUAAUGUUUGGAGAGGAUUAAUCGUGCAAGUUUCUGGAAAAGUGGUCAACCACAUUCAAAAAGAAGAUCUUCCAACAAUACAGAAAGCUUCCCUCCAUUUUUGAGCUUGAGGAACUCCUGAUGGCAGCUGACCCUCCUGAGGAUGGGGCUGAAGUGAACGUUGACUUUGGUCGGAAGAGGCCAGGAGAAGUUUCUGCAUCCCGGGCUGAGAAGCAUCUUGUGGUCUUCAACAAGACUGGAUAAAGCAUCUUAGAACAUCUUGACACCAUUAUUACCAGCACUCAACCCUAUCUCCUGGCUGUUGGAGUGAGGAAGAAUACAAUCCACGAGUUCUUCAUAAUUCUCGACAAGAAUGCCGUACCUUGCAGGACACACUCCUCUCUUGGUGCUUUUGAUGAACUGUUUAAAGCACACUUUGUGUUUGUGACAUCAUACCGCACCAUGCUCCGCAACAUGUACACAUUCAUGCCUUACUCCAAACCAUUUGAUGUUCAAAUGGCGUAUGGAACAUCAUGUUCCACAUUGUAUGUUGUCCCAUAUUGCCAUUUCAUGCAGACCUAAGUCCACCCUUUAUGUAUUCUGUCCCUAAAGUUGAUUGUCCUGCCUGACAAAUAAAUAAAGGUUACUAAAUGUA